AGCGAACGCUGGCGGCGUGCCUAACACAUGCAAGUCGAACGUGAAAGGGAGCAAUCCCAAGUAAAGUGGCGUACGGGUGAGUAACACGUAGGUAAUCUACCCCAGAAUCUGGAAUAACCGGCCGAAAGGCUGGCUAAUACUGGAUAGAGCGACGGAAUCCGUAAUUGGGUUUUUCGGGAAAGGGAGCCUGUAAAAAGGCCUUCGUUCUGGGAUGAGCCUGCGUCCCAUCAGCUAGUUGGUGAGGUAAAAGCUUACCAAGGCAAUGACGGGUAGCUGGUCUGAGAGGACGAUCAGCCACACUGGAACUGAAACACGGUCCAGACUCCUACGGGAGGCAGCAGUGGGGAAUCUUGCGCAAUGGACGAAAGUCUGACGCAGCAACGCCGCGUGAGCGAAGAAGGCCUUCGGGUUGUAGAGCUCUGUCGAGUGGGACGAAAAUGCUUGGAGUUCACAGCUCCAGGAACUGACGGUACUACUAAAGGAAGCACCGGCUAACUCCGUG
RNAcentral lists this ribosomal RNA (502 nucleotides) under uncultured bacterium. Its description in RNAcentral is "partial 16S ribosomal RNA". It matches the Rfam family "Bacterial small subunit ribosomal RNA", at positions 29 to 507 of the family's 1533-position model. The record is from RNAcentral.